AGUGAACGCUGGCGGUAGGCCUAACACAUGCAAGUCGAACGGCAGCACAGAGGAGCUUGCUCAUUGGGUGGCGAGUGGCGGACGGGUGAGGAAUACAUCGGAAUCUACUCUGUCGUGGGGGAUAACGUAGGGAAACUUACGCUAAUACCGCAUACGACCUACGGGUGAAAGCAGGGGAUCUUCGGACCUUGCGCGAUUGAAUGAGCCGAUGUCGGAUGAGCUAGUUGGCGGGGUAAAGGCCCACCAAGGCGACGAUCCGUAGCUGGUCUGAGAGGAUGAUCAGCCACACUGGAACUGAGACACGUUCCAGACUCCUACGGGAGGCAGCAGUGAGGAAUAUUGGACAAUGGGCGCAAGCCUGAUCCAGCCAUACCGCGUGGGUGAAGAAGGCCUUCGGGUUGUAAAGCCCUUUUGUUGGGAAAGAAAUCCAUCUGGUUAAUACCCGGGUGGGAUGACGGUACCCAAAGAAUAGGCACCGGCUAACUUCGUGCCAGCCGCCGCGGUAA
This 506-nucleotide ribosomal RNA is filed under the name uncultured bacterium. RNAcentral's name for it is "partial 16S ribosomal RNA". It matches the Rfam family "Bacterial small subunit ribosomal RNA", at positions 29 to 523 of the family's 1533-position model. The record is from RNAcentral.